CCAACGUGGAUACCCCGGGAGGUCACUCUCCCCGGGCUCUGUCCUGGUGGCGUAGGGGAGCGUAGGGCUCUGCCCGGUGAUGUACACUCCCUUUCCACACCGUUGGAUAUGAAGCUGGGCUUCGAGUCUGCUCCUAUAUAUUCCUACAGCUCCUUAGAGUCUUUCGGACCGUGACUGAGGAGACAAACCAUGCAGGAAACAAAA
Molecule: small nucleolar RNA, 204 nt
Organism: Cricetulus griseus (Chinese hamster)
Lineage: Eukaryota; Metazoa; Chordata; Mammalia; Rodentia; Cricetidae
Gene: SNORA73
Rfam family: Small nucleolar RNA SNORA73 family
About the family: U17 (SNORA73A and SNORA73B) also known as E1 belongs to the H/ACA class of small nucleolar RNAs (snoRNAs). Vertebrate U17 is intron-encoded and ranges in length from 200-230 nucleotides, longer than most snoRNAs.
Source: Ensembl